UACGGGGGGUGCGAGCGUUGUCCGGAAUCACUGGGCGUAAAGGGCGCGUAGGUGGUUUGAUAAGGGUGUGGUGAAAGUCCGGGGCUCAACCCCGGAUCUGCCGUGCCGACUGUCAAACUCGAGGACUGUAGAGGCAGACGGAAUUCCGGGUGUAGCGGUGGAAUGCGUAGAGAUCCGGAGGAAGACCGGUGGCGAAGGCGGCUCUCUGGACACUUACUGACGCUGAGACGCGAAAGCGUGGGGAGCAAACAGG
Molecule: ribosomal RNA, 253 nt
Filed under: uncultured bacterium
Lineage: Bacteria
Description: partial 16S ribosomal RNA
Rfam family: Bacterial small subunit ribosomal RNA
Source: RNAcentral